GAUGAACGCUAGCGAUAGGCCUAACACAUGCAAGUCGAGGGGCAUCACAUGAAGUAGCAAUACGGAUGGUGGCGACCGGCGCACGGGUGAGUAACACGUAUGCAACCUGCCUUCAACAAGGGGAUAACCCGUUGAAAGACGGACUAAUACCCUAUAACACAGGGGUCCCGCAUGGGAAUAUUUGUUAAAGGACAACCGGUUGAAGAUGGGCAUGCGUUCCAUUAGCUAGUUGGCGGGGUAACGGCCCACCAAGGCAACGAUGGAUAGGGGAACUGAGAGGUUUAUCCCCCACACUGGUACUGAGACACGGACCAGACUCCUACGGGAGGCAGCAGUGAGGAAUAUUGGUCAAUGGACGCAAGUCUGAACCAGCCACGUCGCGUGAAGGAAGACUGCCUUAUGGGUUGUAAACUUCUUUUAUACAGGAAUAAAAGGCUUACGUGUAGGCCAUUGCAAGUACUGUAUGAAUAAGCAUCGGCUAACUCCGUGCCAGCAGCCG
Molecule: ribosomal RNA, 499 nt
Filed under: uncultured bacterium
Lineage: Bacteria
Description: bacterial SSU rRNA
Rfam family: Bacterial small subunit ribosomal RNA
Source: RNAcentral